Long non-coding RNA from Chinchilla lanigera (long-tailed chinchilla), 239 nucleotides. RefSeq lists it as uncharacterized. The record is from RefSeq and is a predicted model, not a curated record. NCBI's taxonomy places the organism in Eukaryota, Metazoa, Chordata, Mammalia, Rodentia, Chinchillidae. The transcript has 3 exons.
CAUAACCACUGGGUUCUCAGAAGCCUCUGAGCCUGUGUUUUCAUGACCUCUGCUCUGCUGUACCUCCUGGAAGUCAGACAGGCUGAAAGAAGAAAUAACUUGGUUUUAAAUGUCUGAGACUUUCCUCCCUGUAAUCAAGCACGAGCCAGUGAGUCACGGGAAGAGCCAGAAGUCACCCAGCGCCAGAUCCGGUGGACAUGUGGAUAAGGAUGCACCGUCACCUUUUCACAAGGCAGCCC